RNAcentral lists this ribosomal RNA (253 nucleotides) under uncultured bacterium. Its description in RNAcentral is "partial 16S ribosomal RNA". It matches the Rfam family "Bacterial small subunit ribosomal RNA", at positions 524 to 776 of the family's 1533-position model. The record is from RNAcentral.
UACGAGGGGGGCAAGCGUUGUUCGGAAUUACUGGGCGUAAAGCGUGCGUAGGCGGUUUGUUAAGUCUGUUGUGAAAUCCCCGGGCUCAACCUGGGAAUGGCAAUGGAUACUGGCAAGCUAGAGUGUGUCAGAGGAUGGUGGAAUUCCCGGUGUAGCGGUGAAAUGCGUAGAGAUCGGGAGGAACAUCAGUGGCGAAGGCGGCCAUCUGGGACAACACUGACGCUGAGGCACGAAAGCGUGGGGAGCAAACAGG